This 253-nucleotide ribosomal RNA is filed under the name uncultured bacterium. Its description in RNAcentral is "partial 16S ribosomal RNA". It matches the Rfam family "Bacterial small subunit ribosomal RNA", at positions 524 to 776 of the family's 1533-position model. The record is from RNAcentral.
UACGUAGGCAGCAAGCGUUGUUCGGAGUUACUGGGCGUAAAGAGUGUGUAGGCGGUGCUCUAAGUUUGGUGUGAAAUCUCCCGGCUUAACUGGGAGGGUGCGCCGAAAACUGGAGUGCUUGAGUGUGGGAGAGGAAAGCGGAAUUCCUGGUGUAGCGGUGAAAUGCGUAGAUAUCAGGAGGAACACCUGUGGUGUAGACGGCUUUCUGGACCACUACUGACGCUGAGACACGAAAGCGUGGGGAGCAAACAGG